UUCGUCAGCUCAGUUCCUCUCCACUGCCCUCCGUCACCGCGUCCUCCACCCCCUCCCCCACGCCGGCCGGCUCCACGCAGCCGUCCCCGAGGGCUUGCGGCCUCCAACGCCGCCAUAGCACGCGGAGCGGAGGAUGCCAAACUUACCUCGCCGUACCCAUCCCUGCCGUCCCCCGUGGGCCCGCGGCACGUGGUCGUCGCGGCCGCCCGCCAGCCCGCCUCCUCCUCCACGUGCCUCCGUACUGUCUCGCCGUCCUCGCCGUCCCCCUGGAGUCGUUUGGCUGUGGCACGUUCAACGAGACCUUUUUCGCAGACGCGGCGGUGGUGCUCGACGUGCCCGUCGCCGCGCCCUUCGCCAUCCCAUCCUCGUGCCUCGAGGCCGUCCCAACGUCGCCGUGACCGUCGAGCUCCGCAACGGCGACGUCGGCUGGUGGGGGAGGAACCCGUGCUGCCGUCCGUCACGGCCGAGGACCAGCCGGCGACGCUCGCCGCAGCAGGCCAGGCCUGCGACGCUUUGGCGGGCGCACCAGCGGUGCCUCUCGGCGCGAUGCUCCAGGAAAUCACCGUUGUCCUCCUGCGGAGACGACGACAGCCACGCAGCCAUCCUCUCCAUCCCCGAACCCGUUCCUUUCUUCCUCUCGCUGCGGCUGCCGUCGUCACCGGCUCACCGCUACCUAUGCUCUUCUCUCCCGGCUCGCCUGAUUUUUUUUUAACCUCUGCAUCCAGGACCAUGGUGUCGUAUUGCAGUCAGGUAGCUUUUAACAGCUCCGAACGGAUUUGUUCUAGGUUCUCUACUACUAAUAUUAAUUUCAUCUGGUCUUAAAUUCUAUCAACUAUGAUAUGACCAGAGUAUUCUUGGUUGCCUGAAAAGGUUUUGUCCAGCGAAUACAAAUUCCAAUUUGCUUUUAAUUCCACCAAACAUAGUCUGCCUGAGAUAUCCUGCUGCUCCCUGAUAAGGAAGUGAACUAUUUUCCUUUAUUUGUAGUGUAUCUUUUCUUUGUAUCCCCUUUUAGUAUUUUAAAAAUUACCUGUCAGAUAAUUUUGAAUCACUGAAACCUUUACAAUAGAUUUCUGAUGGUUUGAAAUUGAUGUGUAGCACAUGUCUGAUUAAAGCUAUAUAGAACCUCAGUGGCUAAAGAUUAAGGAUGUCUUAACUAAGGGUCGCUUCUUGCUGGUACCAAGCAAGGCCAGUGCAGGAGCAACUAAUCCUCUCCCAUAGAGCCAAGAUUGUUCAAGUGCCUACAGUCUACCAGGCUGCCAUUCUGGACCCUUCAUUGUCCUGGUCCUCCAAUUGAUCAGGAGAGUAGACUUGGGCUGCAUAAUGCAUUUGCUAAAAAAUGGUGAUUAGUGGAAGCUUUAGUUCUUCGCUUCAAGAAUGUCGUGUAAUUGAUCUAAUGAACUGUUUAUGAACCUGCAAUAACCUGGUUAUUCGUAAUUUUUUUCAUGCAGCAUUAAUGUUCAUUCAGUUAAAGUGGAUUUAGAAAGAUGGACACAUUAAAAAGCUUUUUGCAAUAAACUGAAUUCAUUAA
Panicum virgatum (switchgrass) is the source of this 1528-nucleotide long non-coding RNA. RefSeq lists it as uncharacterized. The transcript has 6 exons. Lineage: Eukaryota; Viridiplantae; Streptophyta; Magnoliopsida; Poales; Poaceae. The record is from RefSeq and is a predicted model, not a curated record.